UAAGACGAGGAUAACGACUGGAAACGGUCGCUAAAACUGGAUAGGAUCAUUUGAGGCAUCUCGAAUGAUUUAAAGGGCUUCAAGCCACACUUAGAGAAAGGCCUGCGGCGCAUUAGCUAGUUGGUGGGGUAGAGGCCUACCAAGGCGAUGAUGCGUAGCCGGACUGAGAGGUCGAACGGCCACAUUGGGACUGAGACACGGCCCAAACUCCUACGGGAGGCAGCAGUAGGGAAUUUCGGCAAUGGGGGAAACCCUGACCGAGCAACGCCGCGGUGAAUUGAAGACGUAUUUCGGUAUGUAAAGUUCUUUUAUUAAGGAAGAAUAUCACGGAUAGGAAAUGAUCUGUGAGUGACGGUACUUAAUGAAUAAGCCCCGGCUAACUAUGUGCCAGCCGCGGC
RNAcentral lists this ribosomal RNA (398 nucleotides) under uncultured bacterium. RNAcentral describes it as "bacterial SSU rRNA". It matches the Rfam family "Bacterial small subunit ribosomal RNA", at positions 133 to 518 of the family's 1533-position model. The record is from RNAcentral.